GGGAAAAGCUCAAAUUUGAAAUCUGACAUCCUUUGGUUGUCCGAGUUGUAGUCUGGAGAAGCAUUUUCUGUGCUGGACCAUGUAUAAGUCCCUUGGAACAGGGUGUCAUAGAGGGUGAGAAUCCCGUCUUUGACAUGGACUACCAGUACUUUAUGAUGUGCUCUCAA
This 167-nucleotide ribosomal RNA is filed under the name Polyporaceae sp. Its description in RNAcentral is "partial large subunit ribosomal RNA". It matches the Rfam family "Eukaryotic large subunit ribosomal RNA", at positions 100 to 260 of the family's 3401-position model. The record is from RNAcentral. Lineage: Eukaryota; Fungi; Basidiomycota; Agaricomycetes; Polyporales; Polyporaceae.